AGCGAACGUUAGCGGCGGGCCUAACACAUGCAAGUCGAACGAGAAUAGGGGAGCAAUCCCCUUAGUAAAGUGGCGGACGGGUGCGUAACACGUGGGUAAUCUACCUUCCGGCGGGGGACAACAGUCCGAAAGGAUUGCUAAUACCGCAUACGUCAGCGAGGUCUACGGACCUUGUUGGGAAAGAUGGCCUCUCCUUGGAAGCUGUCACCGGAAGAUGAGCCCGCGUCCCAUCAGCUAGUUGGCGAGGUAAUGGCUCACCAAGGCAUAGACGGGUAGCUGGUCUGAGAGGAUGAUCAGCCACACUGGGACUGCGACACGGCCCAGACUCCUACGGGAGGCAGCAGUGGGGAAUAUUGGGCAAUGGGCGAAAGCCUGACCCAGCCACGCCGCGUGAGUGAUGAAGGCCUUCGGGUCGUAAAGCUCUGUGGGGAGGGACGAAUAAGUGCCGUACUAACACUACGGUGCCCUGACGGUACCUCCUUAGCAAGCACCGGCUAACCAUGUGCCAGCAGCCGCGGUAAUACAUGGGGUGCAAACGUUGCUCGGAAUUAUUGGGCGUAAAGCGCGCGUAGGCGGUUACUCAAGUCGGAUGUGAAAGCCCUCGGCUUAACUGAGGAAGUGCACCCGAAACUGAGUAGCUAGAGUACUAAAGAGGGUCGCGGAAAUUCCCGGUGUAGAGGUGAAAUGCGUAGAUAUCGAGAGGAACACCUGCGGCGAAAGCGGGUUGCUGGGCUGACACUGACGCUGAAGCGCGAAAGCUAGGGAGCGAACGGGAUUAGAUACCCCGGUAGUCUAGCCUAACGAUGAAUGCUGUGUCUGGGUUUAUAGUCCCGGGUGCGUCGCUACGCUUAGCAUCGCUGGN
Molecule: ribosomal RNA, 862 nt
Filed under: uncultured bacterium
Lineage: Bacteria
Description: bacterial SSU rRNA
Rfam family: Bacterial small subunit ribosomal RNA
Source: RNAcentral